AUGGGGACGGGGUCCCCGGAUACACGGAGAAGCAGACUUGGUGCCAUCAUGCUCAGGGAUCCGCUAAGCGGGCUUAGAGGUGUUCGGGGGCUUGUCGCCGAGCACUUGCUUUCUUGGGCACGGGAAGUCUCGCUGCGGCCAGCCCCCGUGAGAUUGGGGAGGGGGCGCGUGAGGAGAGGCCAAUGCCAAUGGCGGUACACACUAUUUGGUGCGGUGCGGGUUAGGGAUUGUGCAAACGCGCACUCUCCCUUCCCCCGGGCGCACAAGUUUGGCCGGCCCAUUUGCGGGCCCCACGGAUCUUUGGGACGGGAAGAUUUUGCUAAGAACAAGGUGAUUGUAACUGUUGUCCGAGAUAACUGUGCAAAAUGGGUUGCUCCGAAGCAAGGCUUCUCCAAGAUCAAUGUGGACGUGGCUGUUUCAAGGCAUGGAGAUAGAGGAGCUCUUGCUGCUAUAUGUCGGAGUGAUGCAGGCGUUUAUAUGGGUUCCUCUGCUAUGAUUAUCAGGGGCCAAAUUGACCCUGAAUCUCUAGAGGCCAUGGCAUGUGCGGAAGGUCUUGCUUUGGCCAGUGAUCUAUACCUGCAAAAAGUUCAGCUUGCUACUGAUUGCUUUGCUACUGUCAAGAAUCAUCAGGGAAGUUAUUUAGGCCGAAAUAGCAUGACAAUUGGUGACAUUAAGGGGAAGCAGUGGGAGUUUGUUGAAGCCCAGAUUACACGUGAGAAGACGGAUCACAGUUAUGAAGCACACAACCUUGCCAAAGCUGCUGUAACUUUAAAUUUCGGUCAUCAUGUAUGGCUGUUAUCUAAGCUGGGCUUGUUGUUUAUCCCUGAUGUUGUUCCUUGA
Molecule: ribosomal RNA, 840 nt
Filed under: Triticum aestivum (bread wheat)
Lineage: Eukaryota; Viridiplantae; Streptophyta; Magnoliopsida; Poales; Poaceae
Description: partial small subunit ribosomal RNA
Source: RNAcentral